This 380-nucleotide transfer-messenger RNA is filed under the name Candidatus Rhabdochlamydiaceae. RNAcentral's name for it is "Rhabdochlamydia oedothoracis Standard tmRNA". It matches the Rfam family "transfer-messenger RNA". Rfam says of the family: Bacterial tmRNA, also known as 10Sa RNA or SsrA, is named for its dual tRNA and mRNA-like properties. Lineage: Bacteria; Pseudomonadati; Chlamydiota; Chlamydiia; Parachlamydiales. The record is from RNAcentral. RNAcentral also lists the same sequence under 1 other name.
GGGGGUGACUGGUUUCGACUUGGAAACAAAGUACAAGUGGCAUGCGGAGGACGUCGGUUGGCCUCCUAAAUCAUCCGAUAUAACUAUAAAUGCAGAAAAAGAAACCUCUUACGGGGAAUAUUUGCAGGCUGCUUAAGGCUUAACCGCUUUUUGCAACUCGAUAGUCUAAUGCCUGACUAGGAGCGUUAGAACUAUUGUCAUUAAUCCUGGUAUGGGUUUUUCUCUUCGCUUCUUCAAGAAGAUGCCCGAGAUUAGAAGAAGCAAAUUGGUCUAUUGUGUGGCACCUUCCUCAAGAUCAAUUCAUUUUGAAGAUGCUAAGCAUGUAGUCAUUUGUAGAGAGUUUGCUAAGGACGAGAGUUCGAUUCUCUCCACCUCCAUUU